Molecule: ribosomal RNA, 484 nt
Filed under: uncultured bacterium
Lineage: Bacteria
Description: partial 16S ribosomal RNA
Rfam family: Bacterial small subunit ribosomal RNA
Source: RNAcentral
AUUGAACGCUGGCGGCAGGCCUAACACAUGCAAGUCGAGCGGAUGAAGGGAGCUUGCUCCUGGAUUCAGCGGCGGACGGGUGAGUAAUGCCUAGGAAUCUGCCUGGUAUUGGGGGAUAACGUCCGGAAACGGGCGCUAAUACCGCAUACGUCCUGAGGGAGAAAGUGGGGGAUCUUCGGACCUCACGCUAUCAGAUGAGCCUAGGUCGGAUUAGCUAGUUGGUGGGGUAAAGGCCUACCAAGGCGACGAUCCGUAACUGGUCUGAGAGGAUGAUCAGUCACACUGGAACUGAGACACGGUACAGACUACUACGGGAGGCAGCAGUGGGGAAUAUUGGACAAUGGGCGAAAGCAUGAUCCAGCCAUGCCGCGUGUGUGAAGAAGGUCUUCGGAUUGUAAAGCACUUUAAGUUGGGAGGAAGGGCAGUAAGUUAAUACCUUGCUGUUUUGACGUUACCAACAGAAUAAGCACCGGCUAACUUCGUG